RNAcentral lists this ribosomal RNA (490 nucleotides) under uncultured bacterium. RNAcentral's name for it is "partial 16S ribosomal RNA". It matches the Rfam family "Bacterial small subunit ribosomal RNA", at positions 30 to 507 of the family's 1533-position model. The record is from RNAcentral.
AUUGAACGCUGGUGGCAGGCUUAACACAUGCAAGUCGAACGGUAACAGGAAUUAGCUUGCUAAUUUGCUGACGAGUGGCGGACGGGUGAGUAAUGCUUGGGAAUCUGGCUUAUGGAGGGGGAUAACUACGGGAAACUGUAGCUAAUACCGCGUAAAAUCUUCGGAUUAAGGGGUGGGACUUUCGAGCCACCUGCCAUAAGAUGAGCCCAAGUGGGAUUAGGUAGUUGGUUAGGUAACGGCUGACCAAGCCGACGAUCUCUAGCUGGUCUGAGAGGAUGACCAGCCACACUGGAACUGAGACACGGUCCAGACUCCUACGGGAGGCAGCAGUGGGGAAUAUUGCACAAUGGGGGGAAGCCUGAUGCAGCCAUGCCGCGUGAAUGAAGAAGGCCUUCGGGUUGUAAAGUUCUUUCGGUGACGAGGAAGGUUGAUAGGUGAAUAGCCUAUCAAAUUGACGUUAAUCACAGAAGAAGCACCGGCUAACUCCGUG